Molecule: long non-coding RNA, 513 nt
Filed under: Citrus sinensis (sweet orange)
Lineage: Eukaryota; Viridiplantae; Streptophyta; Magnoliopsida; Sapindales; Rutaceae
Description: long non-coding RNA (CSIN_LNC002278)
Source: RNAcentral
UGGAUUUUACAUAUUCUUAGAGCCGUUACAAUCGAGUGGUCGACAUAAGAAUUUAUGUUGACUGUUGUUAGAGAAAGUACAAAGAAUAUUGUUUGCGGCUGAUUUUGGGUCAAUGAAUAAAAAACCACAAAACCAACCCAAGAUCAAUAAAUUUAUAUUUUUGUCGGGGAGCGGGGUACCUCGCUUGUUCGGCACGUGCGGGUUGUUUAGGCUUUUUGUGGAGUGAAGGAGAAUUGAGAUGACGGUGGUUAUGGAGGGAAUCUGACUUCAGGUGUGGAGGGCUGGUGAAACUCGCCUUAAACCUGCGAAACAACCAAAAAGAGGUCAAAGGUGGAGCCGGGGGUGGCCGACGACCACACUCCGACGCUCAAGUCAGAGUUGGGUUAUCUCAUGUUAGAGAGCUUGCAAGCUCUCGGUAAUGGAGAUUUUGAGGUUGAAGAAACCUUAGUUUUUUGUGGUGAGUGUGUUUACUUACUUGAUAAAAAUCAAACCUGAGUAUUUAUAUGGUGUACC